CUCGGGGAUAGGCUGGGCAUUGGUCAGCAGGUGGCCGCAGCCAGCUUCAUGGCCGAAUCCCACCACAGGUCCCACCGAUGCAGUUCCCACCUGGAACAAGCAGUUACAGUUGCAUUCUUACCACUUUCAUCACAACCAGAAACACUGGAGGAAUGGGACUGAAGGAGGCAUACAAAAGGGAGCAAUUCUGAUGCUUCUGUAACAUCUGGGGAUGGCAGGGCCUGCAUUACUGAUGAGCCUGGGUGUUUUUCUUCUACCUUUUUCUUCAUCCAAGAACAAUUAGUGCACACACUUGUUUUACUGCUUUUCUUCCUUUCCCCUUAUUUUUCCCCACUCCUUAUACCAUGAUGACCGCUUUGGAGGUGGUUAAAAUAAUAUCCCAGGCUGACAGAAGAGGAGAGGGUGAGGACUGUGAAGGAGGCUAAAAAAGAAACCCUUUGUGUUUGUAGGAGUGCAAAGAGAAAAUGUGUUUUUUCACUACAGGGAAAGGAUUAGGGUCCUGAAAAACAAGCACAAAAAGGGCUUAGAGCCUUUAUCUUACCAGAUACCAUUAAAGGUAUGCUGUCUUAAAUUGUCCCUGAAUUGGAAGAGAGUAUGUCAUCUUGCUUCUACUUACUUUAGUAAAGCAUUAUGUUAUUCUUUGUGUGGUAGCAUUAUAUGUCAGUAACAGUAAAAUUCUCCUUUUCUGAUUUAUUUAUUGUUAAUUAUGCAAAUUCAUUCUAAUAUAAAGUGUCACUUAGA
Molecule: long non-coding RNA, 741 nt
Organism: Cygnus olor (mute swan)
Lineage: Eukaryota; Metazoa; Chordata; Aves; Anseriformes; Anatidae
Exons: 4
Source: RefSeq, a predicted model, not a curated record